GACGAACGCUGGCGGCGUGCUUAACACAUGUAAGUCGAACGGAAAGGCCCUGCUUUUGUGGGGUGCUCGAGUGGCGAACGGGUGAGUAACACGUGAGUAACCUGCCCUUGACUUUGGGAUAACUUCAGGAAACUGGGGCUAAUACCGGAUAGGAGCUCCUGCUGCAUGGUGGGGGUUGGAAAGUUUCGGCGGUUGGGGAUGGACUCGCGGCUUAUCAGCUUGUGGGUGGGGUAGUGGCUUACCAAGGCUUUGACGGGUAGCCGGCCUGAGAGGGUGACCGGCCACAGUGGGACUGAGAUACGGCCCAGACUCCUGCGGGAGGCAGCAGGGGGGAAUAUUGCACAAUGGGCGGAAGCCUGGUGCAGCAGCGCCGCGUGCGGGAUGACGGCCUUCGGGUUGUAAACCGCUUUCGCCUGUGACGAAGCGUGAGUGACGGUAAUGGGUAAAGAAGCACCGGCUAACUACG
RNAcentral lists this ribosomal RNA (466 nucleotides) under uncultured bacterium. Its description in RNAcentral is "partial 16S ribosomal RNA". It matches the Rfam family "Bacterial small subunit ribosomal RNA", at positions 28 to 505 of the family's 1533-position model. The record is from RNAcentral.